GGAUUCUCAGCGUUCUUUUGCACAGUUUGACUGACUUUAAUUAUAUAUAAUCUGUGUACUUAAGUGUUGCGUGCGUGUGAAUGAAGUGUCAUUGCUAUGCUGAUACAUAGCAGUAUAUUUCAAGAUAGCAGUGGCAGUUUUAUUGCACACUUAAAUCCAUUUUUUUUUAACGCUCUUCAGAUAAUCCAUCUGGAGUUUAGUAAAGCAUUUGAUAUCAAGUCUUAGAAAAUCUUACUUAGGAAUAAGUAAUUCAUUCUAGCUGGGCACGAGCAUUUCAUCACCGAGUGUACAACUGGCAGAAGGGUUUUAAGUGAGUUGUUCUAGAAUGUUGUUUCUAAACUAUAUGCUGUGUUCUUUUCUGUAGGUCACUUCUGUGCAGGCAGCCUUACAGACACUCCUCCAUGCCCAGCAGGGAGCUACAAACCCAAAGAGGAGAUUCUGAUGCCCAGCAGCAGCUCCUCGUUCUUACCUGGAAAUGGAUUGUGUUUGAAGUGUCCUGUUGGGUAUUUUUGUCCUGCGGGAGCAAAUCAGCCAGCACCAUGCCAGCCAGGUACAUACAAUCCUCUCCAAGGACAGGAUGAAGCCACUGACUGCAGAGCCUGCCCAGCAGGAAGAGCUUGCACCCAGGCUGGAUUAGCCCAGCCUGACUCUGAGUGCUUACCAGGGUAAGCCUUGAUUGUUUUCUAUGCAUUCCUAUGUGUCUGUACGUAUGGUUCGUCUCCAUUGUGGUGUUAUUGGUUCUUUGGGUUGUUUUUGUUGGUGGUUCAUUUGCAUAGAGAUUCCUCUGGAAUGUUGAGGUUUUAUUACAGUUUCUGGUAAAU
RNAcentral lists this long non-coding RNA (821 nucleotides) under Phasianus colchicus (ring-necked pheasant). RNAcentral describes it as "lncRNA (ENSPCLG00000009814.1)". The record is from RNAcentral. Lineage: Eukaryota; Metazoa; Chordata; Aves; Galliformes; Phasianidae.